Molecule: long non-coding RNA, 16009 nt
Filed under: Mytilus galloprovincialis (Mediterranean mussel)
Lineage: Eukaryota; Metazoa; Mollusca; Bivalvia; Mytilida; Mytilidae
Source: RNAcentral
UUAAAAAUAAGUAUUUGUCUUUUGAUAGAGUUGAUAAAAAGGAUACAAUUUAUCAAGAUAUCGGCGCAUCAUGUGCUACAGAGUACAAUGGCUACUAGUUCAAAUAUUUUGUGGCUAUUUGUGCAAAACAAACUCUUAUGAGGUAUAUAAACUUCCUGAAAGAAAUUGUAAGUAUAGUGAUAUUAGCUUAAUUAUAUUAUUGUAAAGUUUACUGUCAUUAUAAUACGCAUUGUGUUAACUUCUAUAUUGCCUACAUAUAUAUAUAUAUAAAACGUCUGAAUAAUAGUCAACGAUUUUCCACUGGGAGCUGGAUCGUUACAAUAACGAUACAUUACACAAUAAAUAAAUUAUAUAAACCCUAAAAGUGUACAUACAACAAAUGAUAUAAAAGGAACUAUUAAUGUAAUUAUUUAAAAUUUGGAUAACAAUAUCCUUCGUCAGUCAGAUUCUGAUGUUAAAUGAAUCAUCUUUAAGUCUUCUUAGAUUAAACUUUUACUAAAUCUUGAAAUUUAUGCAAUAAAAAAGGCAAACCAACAUUCUUAGACGCUUGCACCAUUCUAAAAAUUUGUGAUAUGACAUAGUUAUAGACUAAUUACAUCAGAGAGUUCAAUAUAUCUUUAAAAAAAUAUAAUGUGCAUGUGAACUAGCACAAUUUAAAGCUUUUAAUGGUGUCGAUAUUGAUGUUACAAGGAAAGAUUGCGUCAAUAAGAAUUCCAAAUAAACAGCACUGAACGUCUAAAUUCUAAAUAUUCAGAUUUGACAAGUGUAGUGUAGUUACAUUAGAGUUCUGCGAUGUUUAAAACAAACGGCCGUUUAAAAUAUAAUAUAAAUUUGACUAAGUAAAAGUGACGUGUCUUGGUACUAUACAUCUCAAAAAAUAAACAAUUAAAUUGUUAAUUCAAAAUUUAAUUUAGAGAUGAGUAAGGUAAAGAAAAAACGGAGACUGUAAUAUAUUAUAUAACCCAGAUGUGAAGCACUGCAUGGUGUGAACUACAUCUUUUCAUUUAUCCAUUUGGUGCAAAGUUGUUAAUUUUCUUAUCCAAACUUUCCGAGUAAGUUAUCCUCCUAGACCAAAGCAUUUGUGGUAAUGACAUAAAUGGUCAAUCGAUUGAGAUCUGUCUAGUGUGACAGGGAUCUCAAAUGUCGACUAAGAGGGGUCUGGCUGCAUUGGUAGUCGUACGAUGACGUUCAUUCGUUGUGAAACGGCUUUCUGACUCGCUACAUACUGUUUACCAAUUUACACUGUAGAAUACACAACUUUUAGUCUUGCAAUUAACAUGCAAAUAUGGUAUUUUACCCAGUGGAGUGACUGUUAAAAGUCUGGGUAUCCAGUAUUUGUUAUAUAUAAAAAUACUGUAAAUAAUAUAUUUGAUAAACCAUCGGACUAUUUUGAGCCAAAAUAAAUGUAGUCUAUGAUAUUGCAUUCAAAAUUAAGACUCAAUGCACUAUAUUGUAUACUUAUUUAAGAUUUCCAGAAAACCAGCGGUUAUUUUUAGUAGUACUUGUUUUCCAAAAGGCAAUUUUUUAUUACCAGACUUUUAACGUGGGUUAUUUAAUGGCAUGUAUAACAUGUAUAAAGGUGCUACAUGAACAAUUCAGUAUACAUCGAUUUCAUAUGAAUUUCAACUCGCGUCUGGCGUACUGAAUUAUAAUCCUGGUACCUUUGAUAACUAAAGAAAAUGUCCUUUACCAUCAGGCGUCAAAGGGAAACUUAAGCUAACGAAUAUGAAUACAAAUGCGUUAGAUUUGUUAUAGUGACAUUGCGUAUAUAUACAGUAUAAUAAUAAUAUUUUUCAAUACAAUGUUUUUACAACCGGCCCAUUCGACCUAUAAGUCACUUAAAAAAAUAUAAAUCAUAAAAUCAUUUCAUAGUAGAGUCCUGAAGUUAUUUACAUAAAUGAAUUAUAUGCGUUUUGUAAAUACUUGAAAAAUAUAUUUAGCUGUUGGAAAAUAAAUUAAAAGUUGUAUUAAUUGUUCACAGUGUGGUAGUUAUAAAAAUGUUUCUGUGCCUGGUAUGGUUGAGUUAAGUUCAUUUUGAAAAUCAUUAUAUAGAUCACAGUUAAUAAGGAAAUGAAUUUCACUUAACAUGGCUAACUUUCGGUUCAAAUUGGUUAUAGUUUUACCGUGAUUUCAAAUAUUAAUCGUUAUUGUUAUUUUGGGGGGAAAUAUAACGUGAUUCUAAAAAAAAAUAUAUUUUUAGAAUCACGUUAUAUUUCCCCCCAACAUAACAAUAUGUUUUUUUUUAAUCUUCUAAAGAAAAGUUUGAAUUCUAUCGUCAUUAACAAAAAUUUCCUUUAACGUCAUUUUGGAAGGAUUUUUACCGUCAUUCGUAAUACAUGUAAUAGAGGAUUCAUAUAUGAAUAUUGCAAAACCUUGUUGAAUAGCUAAGGACUUCAAUUGAAGGUCUGACAGCUAAACUAUUUUCAUGCAAACGACUUUGACUCCGGUUUUAUUUUAUUUUUUUAUUUUUUCGAUACUAGCUACCUCUACGGUAGGUCAUCAUGGUUUUCUGCCAAGUUAGAGCAAUCGAUUGAAGACAUAAGACGGAAAUAUGAAAACAGUCAAAAAAGAAGUUACCGCUGUUUAAAACAAAAAAAUAAUUUCCACACAACUGAUUUGGACAAUUUCACAAACGUACCAAUAUACCGCAACGUGCUUGCGUAUUGAACUAAUGCCAUGAGUUUGCUUUUCAAUGUUUACAUAAUGUGUUUGGUUUGGUCCUCUAUGCUCAUCAUAUUUGUACUUGUUUGGCCAUUUAACUGUUUUGAGCUGAGCGUCACUGAUGAGUCUUAUGUAGACGAAAUUCGCGUCUGGCGUAUAAGACUAUAAUCCUUGUACCUACAUUAGUCAUCUGGCUUAACACAUGAACUUGCGGAAUUUUCUACAAUGAUUUGUUUUACAUGCAGUUUAUGUUAUCUGUAGCUUUUCAUGAUUCAUCUGAAAAUAUGAAUAAGUAUAUUCCUUGUAUAUUCCCAAACUACCUUUUGAAAUAAAAAAAAAGGAAGAUCAAAAAAUUAAUAAACUCCGGGGAAAUAAAAAAAAACUUACACAUAUCAAACGAAUGGAUAACAACUGUCAUAUUCAUGCCUUGGUACAGGCAUUUUUUUAUGUAGAAAACGGUGGUUUUUACCUGGUUUUCAAACUAGCUAAACCUCUCAGUUGUAUGACAGUAACAUCAAAUUUCAUUGUAUUGACAACGAUGUGUGAACAAAAUAGAUAUAAUAAUGUCCUGAAAAUAGUCUUAGCAAAAGGAAGACGGAAAAUACUCGUAUAUAACUAGAAAAUAAACUUUUAGCUUAUUGGUACACAUGGUAUAACACAGUGAUUUGUAUCUAGAUGACACAAAUGUUACGGGAUUAGACUUCAUAUGGCCUUCUGUGAGUAAUUUUGGAAUAGGAGAUAAUAGUAAAGUCAUCCUGAGAUGUAAAGUACGCAGUGAUGCAGAACCUCAUUUCGAGGUACGUCUUACUUAUGUUUUGUUUGAUGAUACAGGAUACGAUAACAAGCCUGAAAAAUAAGAAGUACUAGUAAAGCAACAUUUCAUCAGAUACAAAGAAAGUUAGGAACAAAUUGAAUAAAAAAAAAAAAUUGCAACAAUCUUUAGAUACUUUGUGAAAAUUGAUCAGCUUGAACAGUUUUAGUAUAGAAUUAUGACUGUACAUACCUUGUUAACCAUUAUUCUAAGUAAAUAUAAAAAAGAAGAUGUGGUAUGAUUGCUGAAACGGAAAUAAACAACUAUAGGUCGCAAUACGGCCUUCAACCUUGAGCAAAGCCCAUACCACAUAGUCAGCUAUAAAAGGCCCAGCUAUGACAAUGUUAAACAAUUAAAACGAGAAAACUUGUCUAUAUAAACAAAAUGAUCGAAGAACAAAUAUAUAUCACACAAACAAACGACAACCACUGAAUUACAGACUUCUGACUUGGGACAGGCACAUACAUACAUAAUGUGGCGAGGUUAAACAUGUUAGCGUUAAAGCCUGUAUAGGGAAGGCAAGUCCCUACGACAUUUAUGAAAGUCUUCCUUGUGUAACAAAAAAAAAACGACUUUGCUAUUAUUAGUAUUCAAGAAUGUAAAUAUGUUUUAUCUAUUUUAUAUGCAUUAUAUUCCGUGAAUGUAUAACCUUCCAAUGCGAUAAGUGGGUUAGCUAUGAAACCUUUUUUAAUCAAUGAAAUAUAUUUUUGUAAUAUUAAUAUAAAAUAAACAAAAAUAUGUAUUUCCAAUUAGUAAACAACUCUCAAUAUAAGAUACAAUGUAUAAAAAUGUAUCAAUUAUAGGUCAAAGUACGGCAUUCAACGCUGAUAUUUGACUCACACCUAACAUCAAGCUUUACCGGCAUAAAAUGAGAGCCUGCAAACAUGUUUAAGUCGGACAUGUUCUGUAAUAUUUUUAUAUGUCUGUAGUAUCAAGACCAUAUUUCAGUGGUUAUUUUUUGAUUCUGUGUAACGUAUUUAUUUUCGUUCGUUUUUGGUUGUUCAUUAAUUAACCCGGUUGUCUUCUUAUUGAAAUGUUUUACAUUUAAUAUUUCGGGACAUUUUAUAGCAGACUAUGCGGCAUGGACUUUGUGUAUUGUUUAAGGCCGAACGGUUAUCUAUAGCUGUUAAUUUUUUUAUCAUUUGAUCCUUUUAUUUUUAAAGUUGUUUCAUUGGUAAUCAUACCACAUCUUCUUUUAUAGAGAAGUUUUUUUUUAUCUAUAUAAGAAACGAGAAAUACUUAUGUUUCACAAGUCUUGAUAUAACAGGAUUCUUAAAUUGAAUAAAUAGUUUCAAAAAAAUAAUCGAAAUACGUUGAGGAAAUCUUUGACUUACAAAAUAUUGUGGAUCUUGUGAUGUGUUGAGAUAUUAUUCAACCGGCAAUGUCAUUUUGGUAGAAAUUGGUAAGUAUUGAUAUAUUAUUUAACUGGCAAUAAAACUUUAAGGGGAUUUGGAAUCUAUACUGAAAUUAUUUGUCUGACAGUGACAUGAGAUUUUUGUCUUAACAUGCUUAAUAUUUAUUUUGUCGGUAAUAAGUGGGUGAAGAUAGACAAUUCAACAUUUGCAUACAUAAAAAUAAACGGCACUGAUGAUGGACGAUAUUCUGUCUUAUUAAAAAAACAACCACGGCAUCGAUACCACAGCAAACUUGUAAUACAAAACACACAAGUAUCUGACUCUGGAACUUACAAGUGCCGUGUCAAUGUUAGAUGGUCCGCUGUCAUAGAAAGACAAUAUAGAGUCCAUGUUCAAGGUAAACUUCAAAAGCAUCAAUGGUACUUAUAUACAUAUAUAUUUAUUACUAUGGCAGAUCAAGGAUAACAAAGUGGGAAUUUUGUUUUAUACAUGUGGAGUAAAAUGUUUAUAUGCAUUGACCCCUAUCCAUUAUUUAUUUGCUUCUUUAAAAAGGGAGGUUCUAUAUCUGCCUUUGAGCUUGCAAAUUGUUGAAGCCUAUUCGUUACAUUUCGUGUCUCUAUAAUAACAACUCUCUAGUUUUUUAAUUAAAAUUCAUUUAUGGGUCUCUAUCACAAACAAAAUAUAUCUUACAGUUCUUUUCAAAAGGUUAAGGUCGGUAUUCAAAAGAUAUAAUAUUUAGAAACAAACCUAGACAAAACUGUACAUCUUCCGUAAUCGUUUGACGAUAUAAUUUUCAUAAAUAUUUGAAAUAACUAUGAUUUAUAAAACUAAUUAUAGAUAUGAAUUCACUUGACAAUUCCCCUUGUUAUUCAAUAACUUAUCCACAGGGAGACUUGGGCACCAACUGUAUGGAGAGUGAUUUGUCAAUGCAGCAAAGACAAGUGCAACAGAGAUAUUUCUAGAUGAAAUAUUCAAUCAUACCAAGAAUACUUCCAAUGGAAUAAUGAAAUGAUUUAUAGAAAAUGUCAUUCCCUGGAUGAUUAGAUUAGACAAUGAAUCAAGCAUCAUAGGCAACAUCGAAAAUUGAAAUGUUAGCAAAAGGAGCAUGAAUUCUACCCACAAAAAAAGGAAAAGUGUAAAAAAAAUGUUUCGUAUGUGACUAACGGGCAUACUAAUUUUAGAAGGACGCGAGAUUGUUUUUCGCCAAUCAAAAGAUCGUAGCAUAAUGAAACAUACAUACAAUGUAAUUAUUUACCUAUAAACAUGAUAAAUAUUGAAAACAAUUAUACAAUAUAUAGACAAGUAUGCUUUAUACAUUAUCUUGCACGUAAUAGUUAUCAAUUAAGGCAUGAUGGUCGUACCAAAAGUGACUGUUACCAAAUUUAGGGCUCCGUUGUCUUUAAGAAUUGAAUUUGUUUGGAAAAUGCUGACAAAGAAUCAAUAGACAAUCGAGCUAACAAAUAUUGAAAUGAAUAGGUUAACCACAAUAAAUAUAUGUGUCCCAUAUGCUCUUCCUUCAAUUUCGUACUUUAUUUUGCCUUUUAAACUUUUUGGUAUUUGAGCGUCACUGAUGGGUCUUUUGUAGACAAAACGCGUCUGGCGUAAAUACAAAAUUUUAUCCUGGUAUCUAUGAUGAGUUUAUUGACCGAUACAAAUGUUUCGGAAUCGUCACAAAAGACCUAAAUUUGCUGGGUUCAGGUAUUCAUGAAUUGUCAAUCGUAUUUCUUUUGAGUCCUUGACCAUUCAAAUUUUGUUGGAGAAUUUGUUUAUUUGAAAUUUUGAAAAAUUAUAAAAAUAAAAAAAACAGAUCAAUAUUUUUAAUGGAUUCUAUUUAUCGAUCACACAUACAUGUUUUAGUGUUUUAGUGAUACGUUGUAUGUAUAAUAUAUCUAAAACGAUUUGAUUUUGCCGAUUACUAGUCAGAUGUGUCAACAGUAUGAAUUACAGUCAUGUAAUGUCACUGCAGGUCAAACAUGCAAUAUUGAAGUGUUCUUGUAUAGUAAAAAUGCAGUCAUAUCUUUUUUCAGAAUCUCUAUUGACUCCGAUUAGACUAGAAUCGUAUACAGAGGAAGGCGAAGGAAUCAUUCAAAUUCGACAGUUGAACAAAUGGACUUAUUUUUAUUACUAUGAUUUCAGUGUAGUUAAGGCAUCGUUAGUGUGUCGGUCUCUUGGAUAUCCGUAUGUAUACAAUAUGCUUGAAUUAUUACAACUAACUAAAUUUCUAAUAAAUCUGAGAAUAUGUCAAAGAGACAACAACCCGACCAAAGAACAGAACACAGCCUACAACAUUGUACAACCACCAAUAAGUGUUCAACACAGUGAGAGAAUCUUACAUCCGCAGACAUGCAUCAACUGAACCUUAAAUAAAUUGCAUACUAAUUAGAUAUAAGAAGAUGUGGUAUGAGUGCCAAUGGGCAACUCUCCAUGUCUACAACUAACAUGUUUAACUUCAAGAUCACUUAUAAAGAUGAUGUACUCUCAAUUAAAAACACAAAUUUUACAUAUUGAGUAUUGACCUCCGAGUUUAUUUGAUAUUCCGAAAGUUUAACUUGCUAUAAUUAAUUCCAUGAUGAGGGGUUGACUCUAACAGAAAAGCUGAUAAACAAUAAGUUCAAAAUAGUGAAGUUUAGGUCCCGCGGUUAUCUUAAUGUCUAUCUACGGUAAAGUUGCAAAUUUAUCUAAUUUAAAAAAGAUAGGGUUUGGUCAUACUCUGUGAUCAUGGUCAUAUUUAUAUAAUUUAAUUUUGGAUGUAACGCGUCUUCUGAUUGGCUGACGUUAAUAUAUAUAUAUACAUAUUUUUUACAUAAAUAAGGCCAUUAGUUUUCUCGUUUGAAUUGUUUUACAUUGUCUUAUCGGGGCCUUUUAUAGCUGAUUAUGCGGUAUGGGCUUUGCUCAUUGUUGAAGGCCGUACGGUGACCUAUAGUUGUUAAUGUUUGUGUUAUUUUGGUGGUCUUUUGUGGAUAGUUGUCUCAUUGGCAAUCAUACCACAUCUUCUUUUUUAUAAAUUAUGUUGCAUCCGAACAAUCAAUCUGGUAACAGCGUUUUGUUGUCUCUUACAGUAUUAAGUUUCAAGAUCAAACUUGACGUCGAAUAUAUAUUCUAGGAAAUGAGAUUACGCUUCUAAACAUUUAAAUGCAAUGGUAAAAACAGGGAAUUACUAGUAUUCAAACUACGGCGCCUACGACAGUUUAACAGUCAUAGCUGACUAUGUGGUAUGGGAUUGCUCAUUGUUGAAGGCCGUACAGUGACCUAUAUUUGUAAAUGUCUGUGUCGUUUGAUCUCUUGUGGAGAGUUGUCCCAUGUGAAAUCGUCCACAUUUUCUUUUUUAUACAAUCACGAAAAUUCUGUCUUCUUUCUCUUUGAUGUGAUAUUACACAUGUUACAUAAUGACUUAUACAUGAAUAAUGUUCAACACAACGGUGCCACUUGUUAAGCGGGUUAUUCUUACUUUUCAUUGAGAGCCAGAGACCAUCCCUUCUUUUUGUUUUUGUUUUUUUUUGGGGGGGGGCAAGGGGGUGGUGGGAGUUUGUGUUUCGCAGUCUUUAGUUUUGUAUGUAAAUGUUUAUUUUUUUGGUUGUUUUUCCUGCAAUGGUGAUCCCAGUUUCGUCAUAACUUAAAGUAUUUGUUAUCAAUUUUCUUCUUAUUUCAAACAAGUUAGAAAUAGAAAUUUAUUUUUCUUUACGUAUCCACAAAGUAGUUAUUUGGCAGAACCUUAAAUGUGAAUGUACUCAUAUUGUAGAUUAAGUUAAAUAUUGGUUUUGAUUUAAUCCAUUUAAAUCAAGGACAAAAAUUUAUAUGACCAUCAUGAAAUAUACAUGUUAUCUUUCGUUUUUUUUUCUAUAUUUGAAGUUUCAUGGUUGAUGAUGCGAGUAAAGCAGGGGACGUUUACAACGUCGGCACACACAUAUGUGCACCCUUUUCACUAUAUCUGUAUCCUCAAGAAGCAUUUAUACAACAAGAACACAGAAGUCAAUUUGGGCUGAAAAAAAAAUAAAUUAUCAGAAUUUAUGCUUUUUGAGGCGUCUAUUUUAAUAGUGAAAGAGGGGCGACGAAAGAUAUCAAAGGGACAGUCAAACCAAUAGUUCGAAAAUAAAUUGACAACGAGAUGGGUAAAAAUGAAAACAAACAAAUAAUAGUACACAUGACACAACAUGCUCCACAUGUGGCGGUCAUCGUGUUGUUCAUGUUGUUACAAACCCUGUAAAUAGUCUAAUUCGGUAGGUCACAUUCAUGAAAAGGGAAGGGGUUGUAGUUACGACGUACGGAAAACAUCAGAUAUCAUCUGUGAAAUGGUUUUCCCAAAAAGGUCAAUUAACUCGUGAUGGCGUCCGUAAAAUUUACGAAGGAAUGAUUUCAUCUUCACAUUUGAACUCUUGGUUUAAUAGCUUCCUUGUGUAUUUGUGAGCAUUUGUACGCACGAUAGAUGUUAGAUAUAUUCCUUGCAAUAGCCUUUUCUUUAUACUAAGCGUUAAAUGCAGGUUUGCUGCAAACAAAACACGUAUAAAAGCUGACACACCUUUUUCUUUUGUAGAUAUGGAGGUGUACCACGAAUAACAUAUGAAGAGAGUGGUAUAUUUCGUUAUAAAUUUUGGAGGCACAAGAAAAAUAGAAAUCCAAUGUGUAUAAAUGGAAUUAGUUGUUCACCAAAUGUCACAGAUAUUGGCCAGUGUAACAUGGAGAAACUAUCUAAAUGUUAUCUGGCACAUGUGGUUGGAGUAACUUGUAGGCUUGAACCUGUGAAAAGUAAGUUACAAUAUGUUGAGGAUUGUCGAAAAGUGUAUAAUCAAUAUGUCAGGCCAAAUGAUUGUCUUGUAAACUAACGUAGGCUAAUAACACUCAGCUGCAAAACAUUGUUAAUUCUUUAAAGUAUAAUGGAAUCUCACGAUAUAUUACCAAUGUACAUGAUGUAAAAAUGUCUUAAAAUAUAUUUUACUUUUAUUUCUAUUUUUAUUAUGUUAAACACAUGCUCGAAUAGGAGUGGAAAUAGAAAUAAAGAAGAACAUUUUUUUUUUUAAAUAUUAAAAGGAAUUAUCCAGUUAAUCGCUUUCUAAAACAGUGUUAAAUGCAACAUUAUAACGAUUUCUUUAGUUACAACUAUCAUUAUUUCUAAUUUUCACAUAUAUUUCUGCUUUAUGUUAAUUGCUUGCACUAAGAGAUUCUUUUUCAAGCUUCUACAAAUAUACAUAUUUUGUUUAUUAUACAGAAAUAACAUGUUUUAUUGGUUGUUAUAUUGAAUAUUUUGCACAAAAAGGUAUAUUGAUUUCACCUUUUGGAGACGUAUUCAACAGGAAUGAAACCAGUUAUCAAUAUCCUGUACAAAUUAUCAUUUAUUAAUGCAAUUCCAAAAGAGAUGUUCUAUGAACUCGUUUUCUGUUUUUAAAAAUGUACAAAACGAACCAUCAGACAUGUUAUUUUUACCCUUUCUGUAUUUCAGUUCCAGAUGUACCUGUCCGUUUGAUGAUACCAGGAGAGGAUGUCAAGAAUUUAAGAGAAGGUGUUGUAGAAGUAUUCCUAACUGACCAUUGGGGAUUCGUUUUAGGAAUUGGUCAGUCCGAAGUCAACGCUCUUUGUAAAACACUUGGCUUUCAGUAUGUUAUCUUAAUUAUUAUGCUGUGAACAAAAUAAAAUGGUCACCAUUUAUUUUAAAGAGCAUUUUCUGUAUACCAUUUUAUUGCACCACAUAUCUGAUGAUUACCUAUCAAAAAUAUACGGAUAAUAACAAAGGGAAAAUGUAUUAUUCGAAGACAAAUGAACACCACAAUAGACAAUAAAAAAUUAAUCGAUAGGUGAAUACGUAUAGAAAAAAAAUAUCAACACACACGUCACAGUCCUUAAAGUUUUAUUGAAAAUUUAACAAGAUGCUAAAUUUCCUACACAUUUUUUUCUCAGAUUUUCGGAUUUAACUCCUUUGUUGCUUAGGUUCAUGUUAUGAGGGUUACACUUUAAGGCUUUAAAUAAAACACUCUGUUUAAAUUCGUUCUGGAAUCGAUUUACAAUGGAGCGUCGAAUACAUAAACAUUAUUACAAUAUGAAAAAGAAGAUGUGGCAUGAUUGCUAAUGAAACAACUAUCCACAGAAGACCAAAAUGACACAGACAUUAACAACUAUAGGUCACCGUACGACCUUCAACAAUGAGCAAAGCCCAUACCGCAUAAAAGCUAGCUACACCAUUUUGUAACUAUAAAUGUAAAUGACGUAAUAAAAAUCAAUAAGUGGUCACUUUGCAGGACAUAUAUACAAGCAGUACAUACAUCUACAACUAGGUAUUUCAAAAUAUAUGUUUUGCUAAUCCUUCAAUACUCCUUGUUCAAGGUAUGGUGGUCAGAGUUAUAAAACAACAGAUAUUCUUCAAAGUACUAGUUUUGGUCGUCUUGACAUUACAACAGAAAUUUUACAAAACUUUUCAUGUUCAGAAAAUGCAUCGCAUUUAAAUGAGUGUAGUGAUAUGGAGUGGACAGAACGUUCGUGGUUUGGAUGGGAUAGAUGGAACAUUUUGUCUAUAAGAUGUUGGACAUAUGCAGAAAAAAGUAAGUGGAAAAACAACUUUACAAAACAGUGAAAAUGAAUUUAAAUAAUGAAAGAUGAUGGAAUGUAUAUUUUUAUUUGAGAGCAAUAUGAUCUAAACAAAUGAAAAUAACAUUUAAUAUCAACAUUUUAUUUGAUUGAAUAUUGUGGUGUCUACACGUUUCUUUGGCUAGGUUUUACAUAUCUACGAAGGUAUAAAUUGUUAUUUGCUCAAAAACCAGUACGGGAGAUUAAAAAGAAUGUUUCCCUCGCAUAAAUUUUACAAUGUGCACAUUAACAAUUGCUAAUAGACUGCCAAAAACUAAGUGAUAUUGCAUUUACAAGGACUAAAAUAUGAAAGCUUUUUUUAAUGUGCAGAUGAGUAUUUUAAAGUUUUUAAUUAUGUAAGAAGAUCCAUUAACAAAUACAUACAAAUGAUAUCAUGCACAUUUAAAUCAGAAGAACUUUAUACUUACUAUUACAAUUAUUGUUUAGGGUCAUGUUAGUCAUUUACCAAAUGCUUAACUACAUUGUAGUGGAUAGUGUUACACCAAACGUUUAUUAAUUGUGUAGGUCAAAACAUCCUAAUGCAGAGAUGUAGUGUACCUAACACUUAUAACAAUUAAUGUUAAAAGUACGCAAUGGACGACGAUGUUUUUGAAAAAUGUCAAUGAAUUGAUAGCAUUCGAGUUUGGAUCAAGACAUAUGUGUUUACGUGUUAUAUAUUAGAAAGCAAAUUAAGGCAGGCACUUAGUGCUUUAUUCAUUCGAUUAUACUUUAAUUUAGGCAAUUCAGGAGAGCAAAUAAGACUAGCAGGGUUAAACGAAGAACACGAAGGACGAGUUGAAAUUUUGCAUAACAAUACUUGGGGAACUAUCAAUGAUCGUUGGUUUGGUCAUCCAGGAGCGAAUUUAUUCUGCAAAAUGAUGGGGUAUCAGUAAGUAUUGUGUGAAUGAUAAAGUGGUAUAAAAAAACAACAACUAAAUGGUCUUCUUUUACUGUUGGUAGAAAUCAGAAGAUUACCAAAUUAUAAACAAAUCAAAGCUAUUGACAUUGCAAAUUCUAUUAAAAAAAUCCGAUUCUUUUUUUUCAAAAUUGAAGAACUUAUCAUUUGUCAACUCCGAAAUUGAUAUCAUCAUCCAUGUCAAUAUAGAUGAAAAGCAGCAUGCAAAUAUGAAAGGAUAUUUCUUAUUUAUACAUCGUCUGAUAAACUGCCAUGAAACAGUAAAACUAAUAAUUUACUGCCUUUCUAAGUGUGAAAUAAACCUCGCAUUUCUUGCAAUCGAGGUCACCUUGCUCGGACUGUAUUCAUCAAUAAGCCAAAUAUGAUAUGUAAAUAUAUGUCCUUCGUUAGUUAAGAAAUAUAUGUAUUUGUCGGCUUAUCAUUAGUAUCACCAUGUGUUAUUUAUAUCUGGCAAAUAUACUGCAGGGCAGGAUUAUAAGACUGCAGCUGCAAAUACCAGAGGGACAUUAAAACUCAUAGAUCAAAACAAAAAAGGGCAAACAGACAAAAAAAAGUUCACAAGACACAACAUAGAAAACUAAAGACUAAGCCCCAACAAAAUAUAGGGGUGCUCUAAUGUGCUCCAGAAGGGUAGGCAUUUCCUGCUGCAAAUGUUGCGCCCGUCGUGUUGCCCAUGUUAAUUCAAACCCGGUAAAUGAUCUCUGUCGGGGAAAAUAAUAAACAAAACUUAUACAUGUUAUAAUUCUGUGCUUGGGACACGCGUUUGUAUAACACACUGCUUGUUUGUCAAGUAUAGUUUAACUUAAAUCAACCAUUAUCUAGGUAUGGCGGAGUACCGAUCUAUGAUAAGUACAUUCCCGGACAGGGCCCACUAUGGAUAGACUACAUAGAAUGUCCUUUACUUGCCAAUGAUUUACAGGAUUGUGAGUUUGAUUGGAUAAAUGAGGAGGACACAAUUUCCAAAGGAGGACCAGCAGUUGUUAAAUGCCGGACAGAACCAGUUGAAGGUGUUUACAUUAAUUGCUAUGGUUCAGAUUGUCUUUUUAAUAUUUAGUAGCGAAAAUGAUUUUGAAUUUAGGGAAAAACAACCAAUUUUAUUAACAUUAGAAAGAAAUAUAUCAAUUAAAAUGUAAAAUAUGUAUAAAUAAAGACAACAGUAGUAUAUCGCUGUUCAUAAAUCGAUUGCAAGCAAACAAAUCUGGGUUACACACUAAAAUUAUAAGAGGGAAACAGCGAAACAACAGAAUACUUAAGUGCAACAAAAAUCAAACAACAACACAACAUACAUAAAAACUAACUAUUAGAUAUUUUAACAUUUUUCCUUAAGAAUAAAAUUGGUAAUAGUUCGAGCACGUUCAUGUGCAUGGCAAUUAAACCUGUGAAAUCAAUACCUCUGGACACAGUACUAGUGCAAGUGAUAUCUGAUACAAAUUUUUUGUUUUUGUUUCUAGAACAUGUAGAAACUAUGUUUUUUUUUCGAAAACCAAGGUUUUUUCCUGCAAAUAGGAUGACAAGACAAAUGCAAUGUUUAAUUAUAUAUAUUUUAAAAAAAAAUCAGAUAAAGUAUUUUUUUGUUUAUUUUCAGAGUGUUAAAUUGCAUCAACCAGUUUGAUUUCUUUUACAAUAUCAUUAUUAUUGAAGAUCUAAUAAUUAUAUUAAAUGUUUUAAAUAUUGCAAUUAUUCCAUCGAGUCUUAAAAAUUUUGAAAACACUACAUUACAAUGUUCAAUUUUGGAGACAAGAUAUAUGUGUAUAAGAAUAUUUUUCCUAAUGUUGGUUUAAACCAAAAAGCACGGUAUACUUAUUGCUUUAAAUAUGUAUUGCAUGUUGAGCUAGUAUUAGGAAUAGAUUAUCUUACCAUCGAUUAUCUACGCUGUUCAUUCGAUAUAGACGGCAACAUGACUUCACGAUUGUCACAUAUUUUAGUUUGUGUCAAUAUCGAAUGAAAGAUAGAAAAAUCAAGCAUUCUAUAAAUAUUUGGUAGCUCACAUUUUUAUCUCAAGCUAGGUGCGCAUCGCUAUAUCCUGAAGGCACAGUAAAGAAUUUUCAUUCUUAAAAAUAUAUUAUUCCAUAAAAAGGCUUCGAACGAUUGUUUGCAUUAUAUGAGAACACAGUCACAUAAAUCGGUAUGUUAACAUAUCAAUCAACCGAACUAAAACUCAGCUUAUAUUGAUGAUAAUAAUUAACCUUGGAAAGUGCUCUUAAGUACGUGUGUUUUGUUUCAAUUUUCUAAAGAUACAAAGAGUCGUGAAUAUCAACGACAUGUAUGGUUUGAUCAAUGUUUUGAAUUACAGUCCCAGAAGUGAAGUUUAGACUAGAGGCAGGAUGGAAUAAAGAUAUACUUGAGUACUUUAAAGAUGGGUACUGGGGAUAUGUAUGCGGGGCAUACAUGGGUACCUCUGAGGCAUCGAUGUUCUGUCACAUGUUAGGUUUUACGUAAGUAAUGAUUUUUCAAAGACAGAUUGUGGUAUGAUGCUGGCAUGCCAGUAACUGAAAGUAGUAGUCCUUUGUUAGUGUAUGUAUCCUUGUCGUUUUGCUUAAUUUCUUGUGUUACUUAUUCUGACAUCGGAAUAAGACUUCUUUUGAACUGAGUUUUACGUAUUGCUGUGUGUUUCCUUACAUUGGCCUAAGACAUAUGGGGAGGGUUGAGAGCUGACAAAACGUGUAUAUAUUCCAAACUGCUCAAUUGUGUGUAUGGUCUUGAAUUGAAAUACAGUAUUAACCAUAUGUCUAUUAAUACAGCCAGACAAUGACAGAAUAGUAAGUAAGAUAGCAAUAUGACAUAUGCAUACAAGAUGCAUGACAUGCAAUGAAACUAAAUAUUGUUUGCACAUUAUGAAGACAAUUUUACACAUUCAUAAUCAAAACAAUGACUUAUCAGACAACUUAUAAUUCUCUUUACGUGACGUGAAAUAUGAAAAACCUUUAUACCUUUUUAUAGGGGUGUCAUAGACCUGUAAAGUGCUAUCUGGUAAAUGAAGACAUAAAAAAGCCAAAGUAAUGGAAUAACUACUUACAAUAAGGAGCUUUUAUAAAACUAAACAGACACAUUAUGAAGCUAACACAUGCACAAAAAUAGAAAUUUAAGUCUAAAAAUAUGGAAUGUGCUAAGAGCAGUACUGUAAGCGUAAUCAUUGUAGUUUUUAAAUUUCUUUUUUCAUUAUUUCAUUAUUUCAUGUUUCUUAUUUGAUUGCUUUCUUUUUUGAAUCAGUCAUGGUGGACAUAUUAUUAUUGAUACGGAUAAUGGAAGAGACGGAGAGAAUUAUCAUAAGAAAGAUAUUGCACCAACAGUUCUAAAAAACAUAGAAUGUCCAUGGAAUUCAGUAGACCUCGAUCAGUGUUUAGAACGAAAAUGGAGUUACAAAGAUAAUAGAAUAAUUUGCGACUCGCACAAGCGAGAUUUAAGACUAAAGUGUAGGUCAAAACCUUUUCCAGGUAAUCAAAGUCUUUUUUUUUAAGUUUUUUUUUUAAAUUUUUUGAUGUAUUAAUUGAUUCAUAGAAGUUUUGCUCAUUAUUGAACAUGUUGAAGGCCGAGUGGUAAAAAGUGAAAUCACAAAAAAUACUGAACUGCGAGCAAAAAUAAAAAGGAAAGUCCUUUAUCAAAACACAAAACUGGAUGCUACGUAUAUUGUAUGUAAUAUCAGUAGUAAAUUAAGUAUGAUCUUAAACGGUCAGUUGAUUCUAACAUCAUCUGAAUUGCCUACAACAACAAACG